CCUACGGGAGGCUGCAGUGGGGAAUCUUGCACAAUGGGCGAAAGCCUGAUGCAGCGACGCCGCGUGAGGGAAGAAGGCUUUCGGGUUGUAAACCUCUUUCAGGAGGGACGAAGCUACUCGGGUGAAUAGCCCAGAGGGUGACGGUACCUCCAGAAGAAGCCCCGGCUAACUACGUGCCAGCAGCCGCGGUAAUACGUAGGGGGCAAGCGUUGUCCGGAUUUAUUGGGCGUAAAGAGCGUGUAGGCGGCCAGACAGGUCCGUUGUGAAAACUCGAGGCUCAACCUCGAGACGCCGAUGGAAACCGUCUGGCUAGAGUCCGGAAGAGGAGAGUGGAAUUCCUGGUGUAGCGGUGAAAUGCGCAGAUAUCAGGAAGAACACCCGUGGCUAAGGCGGCUCUCUAGUACGGUACUGACGCUGAGACGCGAAAGCGUGGGGAGCGAACAGGAUUAGAUACCCCAGUAGUC
Molecule: ribosomal RNA, 464 nt
Filed under: uncultured bacterium
Lineage: Bacteria
Description: bacterial SSU rRNA
Rfam family: Bacterial small subunit ribosomal RNA
Source: RNAcentral